AGAGCGAACGCUGGCGGCAGGCCUAACACAUGCAAGUCGAGCGCCCGUAGCAAUACGGGAGCGGCAGACGGGAUAGUAACACGUGGGAACGCGCCCUUCGGUUCGGAACAACUCAGGGAAACUUGAGCUAAUACCGGAUACGCCCUUACGGGGAAAGAUUUAUUGCCGAAGGAACGGCCCGCGUCCGAUUAGCUAGUUGGUGAGGUAAUGGCUCACCAAGGCGACGAUCGGUAGCUGGUCUGAGAGGAUGACCAGCAUCACUGGGACUGAGACACGGCCCAGACUCCUACGGGAGGCAGCAGUGGGGAAUAUUGGACAAUGGGCGCAAGCCUGAUCCAGCCAUGCCGCGUGGAUGAUGAAGGCCUUAGGGUUGUAAAGUCCUUUUAACGGGGAAGAUAAUGACGGUACCCGUAGAAUAAGCCCCGGCUAACUUCGUGCCAGCAGCCGC
Molecule: ribosomal RNA, 448 nt
Filed under: uncultured bacterium
Lineage: Bacteria
Description: SSU rRNA
Rfam family: Bacterial small subunit ribosomal RNA
Source: RNAcentral